AGCUCCAAUAGCGUAUAUUAAAGUUGUUGCGGUUAAAAGCUCGCAGUUGGAUUUCUGCUGGGGAAGACCGGUCCGCCCCACGGGUGAGUAUCUGGCUCGGCCUCGGCAUCUUCUUGGAGAACGUAUCUGCACUUGACUGUGUGGUGCGGUAUCCAGGACCUUUACUUUGAGGAAAUUAGAGUGUUUCAAGCAGGCGCCCGCCUUGUAUACGUUAGCAUGGAAUAAUAAGAUAGGACCUCGGUUCUAUUUUGUUGGUUUCUAGAACUGAGGUAAUGAUUAAUAAGGAUAGUUGGGCGCAUUCGUAUUUAACUGUCAGAGGUGAAAUUCUUGGAUUUGUUAAAGACGAACUACUGCGAAGGCAUUUGCCAAGGAUGUUUUCA
RNAcentral lists this ribosomal RNA (380 nucleotides) under uncultured eukaryote. RNAcentral's name for it is "SSU rRNA". It matches the Rfam family "Eukaryotic small subunit ribosomal RNA", at positions 587 to 972 of the family's 1831-position model. The record is from RNAcentral.